This 7996-nucleotide unclassified non-coding RNA is filed under the name Hermetia illucens (black soldier fly). RNAcentral describes it as "serine/threonine-protein kinase NLK, transcript variant X7". The record is from RNAcentral. Lineage: Eukaryota; Metazoa; Arthropoda; Insecta; Diptera; Stratiomyidae.
UUCACUCCGAGAGCCUGGUUUUAUUCUGAAGGGACAUUCUUCUUACGCACUGCAGAUUGCCAUCUCGUCAGAGAUUGCCGUUGUCCACUUGUCUUUGGUGAUGAUUUCUCUGGCAUUUUGCCAACAAUUUACGCGAAGUGCAUUUAUGUGUUGAGUUGUUAUGUGUCGUGGAUGUGACUACCAGGAAAUUAGGAUAAAGUCAAUUAACCUCAAAUUGUAGUGUUCUCAAUAAGAAGGCUGUAACAGAUCCUCGAGAUGGACGACGUGUAGCGCUUAAGAAACUUCCGAAUGUGUUCCAGUCACUGGUAUCGUCGAAGCGAGUUUUUCGCGAGUUGAAGAUGUUAUGCUUCUUCAAGCAUGAAAAUGUACUCUCAGCAUUGGAUAUCCUGCAGCCACCACAUUUGGACUUCUUCCAGGAAAUAUAUGUGAUAACCGAACUUUUACAAUCCGAUCUACACAAAAUCAUUGUUUCACCGCAACAUCUAUCCGCCGACCACAUCAAAGUAUUUCUCUAUCAAAUCCUGCGUGGCCUAAAAUACCUCCAUUCGGCCCGCAUCCUGCACAGAGACAUCAAACCCGGCAAUUUAUUGGUAAAUAGUAAUUGUGUUUUGAAAAUCUGCGAUUUUGGAUUGGCCCGCGUCGAAGAACCAGAUCAAUCGAAGCACAUGACACAAGAAGUUGUGACACAAUAUUAUCGUGCUCCGGAAAUUCUAAUGGGAGCCCGACAUUAUUCAGCUGCCGUGGAUGUUUGGUCGGUAGGAUGUAUAUUUGGAGAGCUGUUGGGACGACGGAUACUUUUCCAAGCACAAAAUCCUGUGCAACAAUUAGAAUUAAUCACCGAGUUGUUGGGCACACCAUCGUUGGAGGAUAUGCGACAUGCUUGCGAGGGUGCACGAUCGCAUAUGUUGCGAAGAGCACCAAAAGCACCUUCGUUUUCAGCCCUCUAUACGCUUAGCUCACAUGCAACACAUGAAGCAGUGCAUUUAUUAUGUCAGAUGCUUGUUUUUGAUCCGGAUAAGCGAAUAUCAGUCAUAGAUGCACUGGCGCAUCCAUACCUCGACGAAGGACGACUUAGGUACCACUCCUGCAUGUGUAAAUGUUGCUUCACAACGUCAUCGGGCAUGAGACAAUAUACAGGCGACUUUGAACCGGCCGCAGCUCAACCAUUCGAUGAUCUCUGGGAAAGAAAGUUGACGUCAGUGCAACAAGUUAAAGAGGAAAUGCAUAAAUUUAUCGCGGAACAAUUACAAACAGGUCGCGUGCCACUUUGUAUAAAUCCGCAAAGUGCUGCGUUCAAAAGCUUCGCCAGAAAACCGAGUAAAAAAUCAUGUUUUGGUUCGCCGACAUGUCGUGCCAUGAAGAAGACAGCUAUUUGGCUAUUGAUAACGCCCAUUAUAUUCUUGUAUGCCGCGUGAUAUAAGCAAAAACUUAUUCAAUUCAAAAUAACAAAUCUUUAAUGUCUUCAAUAAGGCACAAAACAGAAUUUUGAAAUUAUCUUAAAAAAGUUCAACGGUAGCGCACCCAUCCGAAUUGCCGCCCUCGCCACAUCAAUGGGAAUGACGGCAAAAUGAGGCGAUAGCUGCCUAAAAACGAAAUCCAAUUUUAUAUUUAGUUCGUAUGACAACAGUAGCAACAACUCAUGUUUACUUAAAUAACUACAGCUACAAAAACAAACCGUGACAACAUUUAUCCUGGCUAACAUAGCAAAUGUCUGCAUUUGUUUAUGUUUCCUUCGUAUUUUUGCAUAAGAUAUGUUUGGAAAUGCUGCGUAUAUAUUACAUAUUGAGCGGAAUUUCCUAGGAAAUUCUGGAAAAAUCAACGGAGAAUCUUUGGAGACAGAGGAAGGAUGUAAAGUGAACAAUCUGAGGAGAUAAACGAGCAACACAAGAAACGUCCUAGUCGAAAUAACUUUUUUUUUAUUGUGGUGUUGUGGAACUUUUGAAGAGAACUCAAGUUUCUGGGAAUUAUAUUUCGGAACUGAAAUAUUUCUCAAGGACACUGUCGAAAACUGAAAUCGGGAAAUAAUAUUAAUGUCGAAGUUAACCGAUGUGAGAAAACUGUAAUACGAUUGCGGAUCGGAGGGAGAAGAUUGCAAAUUGUUUGUUUUGCGAUCGAUUAACGCGAUUACUGGAUGAUAAAUGACAAAAUGUGGAAAAAUUACAGUGUCCUUGCCUACGUGCAAGGAGUGGAGAUGCAUAACCCGCGGGACCGAACUACGACAAAGAAACUUUUGAUAAUUUUCAAGCCUAAAUGAAAAUUACGAUUCCUACAGAUUUGUAGUGCAAGUGAGCAUUUCACUUUGAAAUUCGAAACACUAUUGAAAAAACAUAAAUAGAAAGUAGAAAGUUACAAAACUCAUAUAAUAACUGUAUGUAUAAACAUUUCCAAUUAUAUAGCAAUUCUUUUUGCCAAAUUUACCUCAACUUUUAAAAAACACUUAGAAAAAAACGGAGCAAAAAACAAGCAAACAUGUAUUUACGGAAAAGCAAGAAGAAACGAAUAACAAUAGUUGCUUCAUUUGUUUUUUCGUCCUUAGAACAUUUUUAUUUUUUCUCACAGUAAAUUUUUAAAAAGAUUAUGAAACCUCAGUGGACAAUGAGAAAUGGAAAAAAGUAAAAAAUUGUGUAGAAAUAAUUUUAAUAAUUCGAGUAAAAAUGAAAGUUAUAAAAAUAAAACGUAGCGAAUAAGUCAAGCAGUAAAUAUUAUAUAUAAAUAUCGAUGGAAGAUUCAAUAAAGUAGAAGUUAAAAGUAAAGAAGAUUAAUAAAGUGGAUGAAGAAGAAGAAAGAAGUAAAUGAAAAAAAGGAAUAAAAAAACAACAACAAUUAUAACAUAAAAAUGUUCGUAUUACUUAGAAUUUAGUAUGUACUCAACGCUUCUGGACUGAUUUUAGUUAGUAAUAUGUAAUUUUUUUUUGUGUCGCUUUUAAAAGAAAAUUCUUUUCUUAAUUUCUUUAAUGAUUCCGACUUCUAUGUAAUUUUAUUUUUACAUUAGAUUGAAUAGAAAAAACAAACAAGAUGAAAGAACCUUCUUGUAAAAAGGUAACACGAAAAUAAGGAUAUGAUUUUCAUUGAUAAUUUUAAUUUUCAUAAAGUUGCCAUUUCAGUGUCUAUGAACACAUUUUUACUUUGUCUUCACAUUCAAUUAAAUUUGUAAUGCUUUAUAUAAUAGUUUUGAACAAAAUAAAAUGCAAAACGUAGUGUUUUUAAAAAGGUAUUCAUGUUUGGGGUGAUUCGAUAUGCGGUUCCUAAGUCAAAGAAGAAUGGAUUAUAGCUUCCAUUUAGAUCUGGAUUAGUGCCUCUUGUUUUCCUGAUCUUUUCGAAAGCGUUUUUCAGUGAUAGCCGGGUGCUAGGUGCUUGAGGUACGAAAUGAUUCGUGGUUUUCCAAGGUGAGGAACUCUCUCUUCUAUUUUAAGGAUUUAUGUAAAAUUGUCGCUUUUUUCGCACUUUAAUCAAAAACGGUUACUUCUGUUGACACGAAAGAGAGAAGUAGAGAGGUUGAAACUAUGGAUCCGCAUGCAUGCAGUAGAUUACGUUGUUUCGUGUCGAACUUAAGGGGGGUACUAAUAUCCAAAAUUAUUUUUCACCAAAUAUAACUUUGGGGGGUCUCUUGGGUGCAAAGAGAUGCGUGGGUUAGAAUUAUAUAUUUCCGGGUCAAAGGGCCCAACUGAAAAUCUGAAAAAAAUGUUGGUGUUCCGUGCGUAUCCCAUCUAUAGCUUCAACAUACCCUGGACUACAAUAUUCGCUCUUAAAUAGUUAUUAAUGUUUAGGAUAGUGAGCGAUCCUAAGUCCACAUCCACUUGUUAUUAAUGGUAUGUUUUUAUAUUUUGUAAAUUUACUGCGAAUCGCACCUUAAGUUCAUCCUAAAGCCAUUGCAGUCAAGUAACUUGAAGUAUGGGUCAUCAUACUGAAAAAUUUGGUGGAAAUCGUACUGUUACUAGCAAAGCUCUCGCCGUCAAACUGAUGCUCCUUAAGAAAUAAAAUGUCAGCAUCACAUUGAAGUUGCAUAAAAAUGGAACCAUCGUGCAUCCACAAAAUAUCUAUAAAACUUAAGUUUCCGGUUUCUGACUUGUUACGUAGUUCAAAUAGAAUUUUGCGAUAGACCCGUUUAACUAAUAGAUUCGUUUUACAAAACAUUGAUUGAGUUGAUAGUGGUUCACUUGCUUUAGUACCUGGUUUCACAAUGAGAGUAGAGCAUAAUUUAACAAGUUACUGAAUCUUACUUAAAAUGGGUGCAAAAAGAAAUGGAGAGAAAAAUAACUUCAUCAUACAAUGCCAGAAAAAAAAGCUGAAGUUCCAUUUGGUCCGGUCUAACAACAAGUGGUUGUGGACUUAGGAUCCCUCACUUAUCCUAAACAAUUUGAUUAAAGUCGUUAAAGAUGUUUUUUUUAGAAAGUCAAUGUAUUUUUAACCAUCCUUUUUUUUGUUACAUAUAAUUUCGUAGUAGUUUUAUGUUGAAUAAGUUAUGUGUUAAAAGUUGUCGCAAAGUAACUAUUCAUUCAUUUUUUCUGUUUUCGUCAUUUUUUUGGAUUGAAAAAAAAACCUUCCCAUCCGUUCAAAAUAAAAAUUCCUUAUCAACAGACUUAAAAAAAAACAAAAAAAAGUAAUAGGCAGCUCUGUCAACAUUUUCUUAAAGAUGUCCGAUGAAAUUCAAGUCCGACUAUCGAUGAGAGUUCACAUGGUUGUCACCCAGUAAACUCUUCGUAAUUCAAGCCGAGUGCUUCUGAUUAUUGCCAUCCAUAAAAAUCCAAACAUUGGCCAAUUUUUCGGGAACGUACAGUAUUUGGUUGCAGUCAGUAUACCCUGAAAUUUAAACAUUGGGCUAACGGUAUUUUGAGAAAAACAAGAUCGAACCAACGAUAAUCCGCUGCCAUGGCUUGAAUUAGAAGGUGGUUUGUUAGCCAAAUUUUAAAUAAAAUUAAACGAGUUUCGAAGACUAGUUCUUGUAUUAGCUAAAAAAAUUGGUAGAAAAUAAGUACCGUAUUUCGGGAACCAACUGCUCAUUUUUUCAACCAAUUCCAACCAAUAACGUAUUUCCGGAAGCAACUUCCCCUUUUUUCAGUGAAAACACUGAAAAAGAAUACAGUUUGUUCCCGAAAUACGGGAUUUCGAUUACGAUUAUUUUGUGCGACGUUUAUUAUCCGAUAUUAAUGACUCGACUGGAUGGGAAAGUAUUCAGUUUUAUACGACUAGACAUAAACCAACAUAAAGAAGACAAAAACAAUUUUCAUUGCUCAUCGAGAAAUAUUUUCCGUGAAAACAUUGAAGAAGGAGAUAGUUGGUUGCCGAAAUACGGUUUUUGUUUUUCCAGAUUUUUUUUGUCAAUAAAAGAAUAAGUCUUCAGAUCCUGUUUAAUUUUAUUUUACCUACAUGUUUGGACUUCUGAUUUGGUAUUUGACGCUGUAACGUUUUCCAAAAGGCAGUCGAGUAUAUCAGCAUAAAUUUAGAUCCGUUGAACUACAACACAUGACUCUUUUAGAAAUAAUAAAAAACUUGUUUUUUCUAAAAAAACUUGUUUUUUCUUAUUCGCUACUGUUGAUAUUUUAAUUUUUGCAAAUACCGAUAUUUCGGGAACCACUUGUUCCCUUCCCUUUGUUAGCAAUGAUGAACGGAACAAGUGAUUCCUGAAAUACCAAGUCGAGACUUGGCACUGAUGAAGGAAACAAGUGGUUCCCGAAAUAUCGGAAUUUGCAAAAUAUAAAUCAACACCAGCGACUAGGAAAAACAAGUUUUUAUUAUUUCAAAUAAUUAAUCGCUGGAAACACCGCAUAAUUACACUCAGAUAAACAUGACUCUAGCGGGCGACAGUUCUUCAACGUCCUCUUUGCGCGACGGGUUUUCCCCGAUAAUAAUAGCUUCCGAGUGGGUCGGGAAGUAUUCAGUUUGAACGCCUGAAUAAGACGACAUUAACAGCAAAUUUCAUUGCUCGUGACAAAGAAUUUCCAGCCAUAUAUGUAUGUCAUGAUUCCAUAAUCUGAACGACAUGAAAAACCAUUUUACACGGGUCUAUUUACACAAUACGGACACGCAGAUGAGCUUGCAUCUCAGUUGAUUUGCUCAGAUGUCUUCUGUUUGCCUCUGUUCCAACGGAGUUAAUGCAAUGGAAUCUGCAACAAAUAUUGUCCAUAACAGACUGCGAUAUGUGUAUCGCUUUAAUGAUAAAGUGCUUCAGUUCCUCAUACAAUCGUUUUCUAACAGUAUGACCAAUCAGUCAAAAACUAAAAACAAAAAAUACUUUGAGCGGAUGUUUCCUCUGAUAAAUUGAGAAAAUUCCAUUGAAUACGUUUUUUUUUCUGCCCAAAAAAUUAAUGAAAAUAGAAAAAAAUAAAAUGACAGCGUUACCUUUUUUUUAUUGAAAAGUUGAAAUAAUACACUUAGUCUUCGUAAAAAUGCUACAAAAUCAUAUGUACAUACAAAAAACAUCAUUAGCAACUUGGAGCGCGUUUUUUCCAGCAUUGUAUAUAUGCCUCAGCCUUUGUCUCCUUCAGAAGCGGCGUCAGCUCAAAACACCAUUAAGACUCAAUGUCUGACAAUUCACUUUUAUGUAGUAUUGACAUUCUAGAUUAUAAGGUGAAAUAAAUUCAAACGAAGAAGGCUGUUUUCGCCCAUUAUAACUUUGUUAAUAAUAGCAGGGUGUCCACGAAACUUUCCAGUAAUAAUACGUAUAAACGCCGCAUUAUUUUCAUUUGAAGUUUAUAAUUUUUGUCGCUUACUUCCCUAAUUUGCAUCUGAUACUAAAAAUAAAACUUGUUUGUUUACUAAUCGGGACAUUUCAUUUGAUAUCACGUGUGUCUACAUUUGGGGGAUAAAAAAUGUAUACGCUUCUAUUGCACGUACUCGUAUUUAGGGCCUCCCUAAAACUCCAUACCAAAUUGUGUCAUUCACUAUAAGCGUGGGACCUUGUAGUCUCCAGUUAAAUUCUGUUUUCAACAAAGUCACCGUAUUUGAGAAAAGUGCGGUAUACGCGCAGAUAGGUUUUGUUUUUUACAAAACGCUAAUGAAAAAAUAAAUCCGUUUCUAUCGCGUGGUUGCGCUGUAAUAAUUGGACCCAACCAAUUUUAAUUUAAAUGUAAUGAAUUCUAGUUCAUUUAAAACCACGCGCAUCAUGCACCAGAUAAAAUGCAUAAAUUUGACAUAUACGGGAUAUGCAAUAUUUUCGGAAUAUGCUAAAUUUCAGUUAUUAUAGGUCUUCAGCAAGACAAGCAUUGGUUCAAAUAGCAUUUCAUCCUUAAGCGUUCAAAUAAAUAAAUAAAUUUUCCAAUGAGAAUUUUGAGGACUAGACAUCCUUUCUAUUGUUAUCAAGCUUUGGAUGAUGUACCUAAUAUGCGUGGCAAGAAGGUAAGGGUGUCCAGUAUGCUUUCGUAAUAUACACCAUCAUCUUUUGGGAUGGACAUUUUUUUAGCUGAACUAAUCUCACAUCAUAAAGGAACGGUUUAAUUUUGAAAACAAAAGACCAAAAUUACCACUCAUAGACACUUUUCUGAGCAAUCCUUCUUGGAAGUGACAUUACAUUCAAGUAAUUUUUACAUUAUCUAAUUUCGUGUUGCCUAUCCGAUGGUGUGUUCAAUUUCCAGAUAUGAUACAUUAAUAUUACAUUUACGUAUACUUUAUCUACUACAUUCUAAGAGAAAAGGUCGAAAAUUAAUUCAAAACCGGGGAUAAAAGCAAAACAAAACAAAAUAUAUAUUUUUUUCUUUGUAAAAUUAAGUAACAUAAAAAGGACUGAACAUAAACUUUUAAUAGUUAAGCGAAAAGCACGAGGUUAGUAGAAACAAGUAGGAUAAACUUCAAAAAUGAUUUUUUUUCAUCUUGAAUUUCCAAUUUUCUAAACAAAACUAAAUUCAAAUUCAAUUCGUAAAAAUAAAUAUACAUAAAUAUAUAACACAUGGAAAUACAUCCAUGUUUUUUUUCUGGUAAAAUUUUCAAUGCACAUAAACAAAAUAUUUUUCUUCGGUAAAUUUCCUUUCAAACACAUCAAAAUUAGAAGAAGAAAAAAAAA